UGGGGAAUAUUGCACAAUGGAGGGAACUCUGAUGCAGCGACGCCGCGUGAACGAAGAAGGCUUUCGAGUCGUAAAGUUCUUUUAUAUGGGAAGAUAAUGACGGUACCAUAAGAAAAAGCCCCGGCUAACUACGUGCCAGCAGCCGCGGUAAUACGUAGGGGGCUAGCGUUGUCCGGAAUCACUGGGCGUAAAGGGUUCGCAGGCGGAAAUGCAAGUCAGGUGUAAAAGGCAGUAGCUUAACUACUGUAAGCAUUUGAAACUGCAUAUCUUGAGAAGAGGAGAGGUAAGUGGAAUUUUUAGUGUAGCGGUGAAAUGCGUAGAUAUUAAAAAGAAUACCGGUGGCGAAGGCGACUUACUGGGCUAAUUCUGACGCUGAGGAACGAAAGCGUGGGUAGCAAACAGG
RNAcentral lists this ribosomal RNA (403 nucleotides) under Fusobacteriota bacterium. RNAcentral's name for it is "Fusobacteria bacterium partial 16S ribosomal RNA". It matches the Rfam family "Bacterial small subunit ribosomal RNA", at positions 355 to 776 of the family's 1533-position model. Lineage: Bacteria; Fusobacteriati; Fusobacteriota. The record is from RNAcentral.